RNAcentral lists this long non-coding RNA (43998 nucleotides) under Brachypodium distachyon (stiff brome). Its description in RNAcentral is "long non-coding RNA (BDIS_LNC000122)". The stretch from base 23575 to 23697 matches the Rfam family "MIR7784 microRNA precursor family". The record is from RNAcentral. Lineage: Eukaryota; Viridiplantae; Streptophyta; Magnoliopsida; Poales; Poaceae.
UCGAGGAGGGGGUAGAUCGCUUAAGGAGAGGGAUCGGCCCCGCCUCUCAGUGAUUGUAAAGUCAUUGACUUUAAGUCGGGGGAUUCACUUUCUGCUCAGGUAUUGUCACAAUAUAGGGUUCAUUUGCUGUGCAAUCAACUGAGUAAUGCAAUUGUGCAAUCAAAUUGACGGGAGCUAUUCGAUCUGCAACCUGUGGCUGUGAUUCUCAUCAGGAGGUCCCACCACCGUUCAACUUAAUCUUUGCCAAAAUCACCCCGCAUGCAGGUCAAUUUUUUUGUGAAACCCCCCUGGCUAUGAACCUCCUGACCGUCUUCAUAUCGAUCGUUCUAGGUCGUCUGACCCUGUCUCGCUGCCGCCGGCCGGCCGGCCGACAAUGGCUUCCUCCGUGCUUUCACUACCCCGAAACGAUCCGCAGGUCCACGGCAUGCCCCUAGUGAAUUGAUCUCUUCUUUUCCAAAGAGAUGAUCUCAACGUCAUGGCUGCAUCCUUCUUCUCUCUCGACGUACAGAACUACAUAUGAGCAAGGAUAACAAAUCAUGUUCCCGUCGCACCAUCUCUCUCUUUUCUCUUCUCUCUCUCUACAUACGGAUGAGCAAUGCAGAAUUGCAGACUUGAACUGAACAUAAGACUCGACGUACAGGCCGCCGUGACGUUGAGUUCUUCGAAGCAGCAGGGAUCAAAUCACGUGGGCCCCUGCCGUGCAGGAUCGGCGUGCGGAGGAAGCCGGUAUCGGCUGGCCGGCGGCAGCGAGACGUAGUUAGGCAACCUAGAGUGAUUGAUACGAAGACAAAACAAGAAAUCCAGCUGUUUGGGGAAGAAGACUCACGAGGGUUCAUAGCAAGGGGGUUUUCACACAAAAAAGAAGACCUAUGUGCGGGGUCAGUAUUCGAAGUUAGUCACUCCAAAUAUUUUUCCUACCAAGAAAUAUAAGGAUGUGUGUGUUUCUGGAGAUUUUUCUUUAGCCAGUAUUUGAAAGUGCAUGUUGUUCCAUGCGUGGUUUUGGUAAUUGCUAUGAACUAAUGUUUUAUUUGAAAUGUAUUUGAAGGAAUGUCCCAUAGGCAAUUCAUGAAGACCACUUGGUAAAUUCAAUGACAAAUGUCAUAAAGUUAUACAUUGAGAUUUGACAAUUGGUUAUGUGGUUUUGGUAACCGAUGAAAAUUCCUAUGGAUAAGUAUCUGCAUUGAGCUUUACAUGAAUGAAUGUUAGUAAGCAAAGGAGAAAAUUGACACAGUACCACUAAGGGAAAUCUAAGACUCCAAAAUACCACUCAAAAAACCAAGAAUUCCAAAAUACCACUAGAAGUCAGUUUUUCACUCCAAAAUACCACUAUAACUAACAGCCCCUAACAGACCCUAACAGCUCAAACAUGGACAUAUAUACCCUUACAUACCUCCUCAAAUAGACAACAUUUCAACUAUAUUUCAGCAGCAAAUUUGACAACAUUUCAACAGCAAAUUGGAUAGCAUUACAACAGCAUUCCAACAGCAGCAAAUACAGCAUCAAACAGCAGCAUUUCAGCAGCAAACAACACCAUUUCAGCACCAAUUAAAUGCAGCAAACAGCACCACUUAACAGCAGCAAACAGCACCAUUUCAGCACCAAUUAACAGCAGCAAACAUCACCACUUAACAUCAGCAAACAACACCAUUUCAGCACCACUUAACAGCAGCAAACAACACCAUUUCACUAGCAACAAGGGUCUAAAUAGUAGCUAAACACAUUGUCACAUCACAUGGUACUUUAACCAAAAGGAUACCACUAAUUUAACGCAACAACCAUACAUGAAGCGAUCAUCCCCCUUACUAGGGUUCGAUCUCUGUGCUUAUUGUGCUAGUCCCUGGAUCGACUCGCUAGCACACACAGUUUCAAGAUGUAAUAUCAAGAUACAAAGGUCAAAAGUAUAUUACAUCGCAUUGAUCCAGAAUUUAGUAGUAACUUACAUAUUGCAUAACCUCAUGGGUUAUCUCAAAAGAAAAAAUAAAAUCUUGCAGCGGAAGGCAGAAGAUACAGGAGUCCCAUAACAACUCCACAAUCGAAACAUGUUGGAAUGUAAACUCGCAACCCUAACAAUUCGUACCUCACUCUUCACCUGGUUCACCUGCAACAUUUAAACGUUGCAGCCACUAGGGGAUCAAUACAUUGAAUGUAUUGGCAAGUUCACCAAAGGGUUAUAACAGACCUAACAAGUAUAUGCAUUAUUUGGCAAGGUAGGGGUUUGGCUAUUUGCGUAAAAGCAUCAUUGUUCAAUCCUAUCAUUUUUAAUAAAAUACUUUUGAUUCUAUUGGACACGGGGUAGAAACACCCAUGCUCCUAUUAACCUAGGCACAUUGAGUAGAAACAUCAAUGCUCCUACCCAGUUCAAUCCAUUCGUUUUAUUAGGAAAUUGGAAUGAGUGAGACCUUCCUUACAGCCCCAAUAUCUAGUUGCUCAUAAUUGUCUGUACGGGGACACAGCUAAGUACUUAGUUUGACACUCUCAAGAGGUUGUACACAUUCCCCACAGAAAUCGACGUGUUAAUCCCUUGCUGUCCUCAAGGUAGAGUAGCAACGACAUCCAUUACGGGAAUUUUCAGACCAUAAUCACCCAGACCACCUGAGGGACCUACGUUCCCACCUACACGGCUACAUCUGCACAAUCCAUCGGAUCCAGGAUCAUAUGUCUUACAUGCAUCCUGGCAGAGCCCAUAUUACCAUGUGGUUGUACUGAAAGCUACUAAACAGGAAACUAGUCCAGUCUCUGAAUACCCCGGGUGGCAUCCCACAUUGUGACGCAGGCGCUCCCCGAAUCGCACGGGGAGACGAUUAUGGACGCUCCCGAAUAACACGGAGAGACGACUCAGCGGGACCCAUAGAAAUGGACCUAACGUCACGACAUCCGAAAACUCAAAGCAGCCAACCAGGACGAUUCAUUGAAUUACAUGUUUUGCCAUACACUAGGAAAAUCAUAUUGUAAUUCAAUAGUAUCACAUUGUAAUAAUACCAUCCUCGUAUAUUAUCAUAGCAUAGCAUUUUUCUACUACGAUGGCAAUUGGUGGUAAGGUCAUGAUAAGGGUCUCCUAUACUAUUAGGACAGAUCAUAACUAGCAUAGAUACAGUAAUAAUCUUGACAAUGCAACUAAUAAAAUCUAGUGCAUAAUAAAAUAAUUGGAUGAUGGUCAAAGUGAACUUGCCUUUGUCACAGUAGUUCGAGUUCAAACACUCGUCACACUCGCAAGGUUCGCUCUCCGAGAAAACUAUACGAGACGAAACAAACAUAUACAUACAUAAACACACAAUUCACAUAACGACAAAAAUAAGACAUGCUAUGAUGUAAUGCAACAUGUGACAUGAUUUGGUUUAUUUUAUUUGGGUGAUCAUCUGGUCCUAAGCAUUGGUAAUUAAAACAAAAGCAUUUGGGUUUUAAACAAAAGGCAAAAACAAUUUAUUAAAACCCUAAAUAAGGUUUUAUUGGCAUCAGCCAAAUAAUUUAUUUCAAAAUAUUUAUUUCUCUAUCCCAAUGGACAGAGGAUAAUAAAACAAAUUUUUGGACACUGGUUUCAAUUAAAAUGGACUUCUAAAUAAUUAGUUGUGAAUUAAAUGGCAUAAAACCCUAUUCUGUAAUUUGAAUGUGAUUCAAAACUUCAAAUUAGAAAUUGGACAGUGCAAAAAGAUUCUACAGGUUGAGAGCUUUCCAAAAAGGUCAAGUUUGUCAAAAUUGGCUAAAGGGUUUAAAAGUUAUGAGCAUUUGAAGUUACAGGGGCUUUUCUGCAAAAGUGCUAUUUGUAUUUCGGCCGAAAAAGAAAAAAGAAAAAGCUCUGCCACGUGGCGCGUUGUGGUUGGUCGGGGGCUAGGCUUAGGGUUUUGUUUUUUUUUACCAGGGAGCUGCCGGUCUUGGGGAAGAUGACCGGUGGCGGCGGCGGGUGGCGGCGGCUCGGGCUCGGGCUCGGGGAGGCGGGCGGACGACGGGGCGGCGGGCGGCAGGCGUGACUCAGGGCGCGUGGGGCGGAGGCGGCUCGCGGGCGGCGCGGCGCGGGGUGAGUGGGCCGGUUCGGCCUAAAACGGCCGGGCCGGUCCAUUUCCCCCUUUUUUUUCUUUUAGCCUUUUUCUUUUUCUGCUUUUCUCAUUCUUUGAUAACUUUUGAUUUUGUACUCCAAAUUGGUCCAAAUAAAUUCCAGAAAAUUUGUACAAUCAUGUUCUAUCAUGAUACAACUUUUGGGAUUAGUUUCCCGUCAAAAGAGAAUACACAAAAAUACAUUUGCCCUAUAAAUGCCUCUAGGGCUAUAUAACUAUUUAAAUAAAAUAGUUUUCAAUUCCAAAUAAUUAUCCAAAAAUUAUGGGAUAGCUUAUAUAUGCAUUAAACCCCUUUUAUACAUAAACCCUAUUGGUUUGAAAAUCCAAGGCUAAAAAGGGUGUAAACCCUAGGGUUCAAAAUGAAACAAAGUCUUUUAAAGCCUUUUGAGAUUCAAAAUUUGAAUUCAAAUAUGCAAUUGUGGCAUGAUGCUCAUGGAUGGUAUGCAUAUGCAAAAUUUUGAAAUUUUGGGAUUUUACAAAACAUCAUUCACUGCUUAAGAGGGUUGCCGCGGAAGCACUAUGGGGGUGCACUCCAUCCGCGCUUGGCGCCGACGGGGUGCACGGCCAUGGUGCCCCUGCCGCACCCCUCCCGAGGGUGCCUCCAGAGGUGAGGGCCGCCGCGAGGACGCUGUGAUGGUGCCGGUGCCGGCGUUCGCCGCUCGCUCCGGCCCGCCAAAGCGUUCCUGCUGCGCCCCUCAGGUAGACUCCCCCAAGCAGCGAGGGUUGCUGCGGGGACGCCGUGAUGUUUUCGCCACCCGCGUUCACCGGUGGUGGUGAGGGUGUCACGGCGUCCCUACUGCACCCCUUAGAACAAGUUCCUCUGAAGGCAAGGGCUCUUCCGAAGGCGAGGGUUGCUGCGGAGACGCGGCAGUAGCAUCGUCAUCGGCACUUGUCGCCGGCGGCGAUCCUGCCGCAUCCCUCAAGCAGGCUCUCUCAAGGGCGACGUACCAGGUGCACCCCUCCGACAAGCAUACCGAGCAAGACACCAAACGAAAAGCUAAGUGCUUGAACCUGAACAAUAGACUCUCUGAGAACCAAACGUAACUGAACGCUGCCUCGCUAAGUGUGGUCCCGAAACCUGCUUGCGGCCGGGGUGUUAAAAAGACGCUUGUGGGGGGAGUUCGCUCCCGUGCGGCUUCCAGGUCCGCACCCGGGAGGGCAUGGCUGGGAGUAGUUAUCCCGCAAGCAGAGUGGUUCGCCGUCGCUGCUUGGCCCCAGGUCGGCACUGCGGGUCCGUCCCGGGUCCCUGGUCCGGUUAAGUGAGUGGCGUGCGAGUCCCCGGCAACACAAAGCAUAACACGCAAGGGCGAAGGGAUCCACCCCGGGAACAAGGAACAAGGAUUAAGCAGAACUAAAGAGCUAGAUAAACAAAGUAACAAGCGAUUACAUGAAGUAAUGAAACAGUAAUUGUUCAAACGGCGCCAGGCGCCAUACUUGCAGGAACGAAAACAAAAGAAGGCAAACAAGGAAACAGCAAGGGCCGACAGGGGGCUGCAAGGAUGGCUCGGGGUCCGGCUUCCGCUGCAUCCGCUCGACCACCUCGUCGACAAACCCACUCAACGCCUGUGUGUGGGUGGGUUCAUCCUUGCUGUCCGACCAGGCGUCCAACAGAGUCUCGAAGGGGAACUCUGAGUCCCGGAGGUGCACCCUCGGAAGGAUCGUCCCGGCAACCUCCCGGGCGCAGUUGGCGACCUCGUCGACGCCGAACUUGGAGAUCCAGACGUCGAGCGCCGCGAACUUCCCCACCAAGUCGGAGAAGAACGGGAUCAGCGUGUAGACGUCCGUGUCGUCCCCCUCCGUGGCCCGCAGCUCGAAUCGAGGCAGCCGGUCGCGCAUCACUUGGGCGAUCUUGAGCAGCUUCUCGGUCUCCAGCUGCCGUUGCCCGAUCAGCGUGCUGUGGUGGAGCCGGGCGUUGAGCGUGGCCUUCUAGGCGGCUUGCUAGCGACGCGAGCUCCGCGGCCUGGGUUGCGUUGUCCUCGCCGGCCUUGGCGAGCUCCUCCCGGACAGCGGCCCGCUUGGUCUCGAGCCGGGCCGCUUUUUCCUUGGCGGCGUUGGGCUGGAUCUCGUGCCGGGCUGCCGCGCCCACCGCACUUUUGGUGGCCUUGGUCUGCACCUCCAGCUUGACGCGGAAGCCUUGGGUCUCGCCGAGAUAGUUGACGAUCAGAUCCCUCUUCUCGUCGAUCCGAGCCUGGGCCACAACAAGCACCCCCGCAUGCUCCUUCUUGGCUUCCGCCUGAGCCGCCACCAGCGAAUCCAGAGCUUCCUGGAGCUCGGCGCGCUGAGCCUCCGGUCGCCAGUAGAGCUCUUCUUCGGGGUCGACCGGUGUGGCGGCCUCCUCCAAGGCUUCCCGGGCAAGGCGCGCCUCCUCCCUGCCGCUCCUUCUCCACGGCCAGCCGCACCUCACCGAGCUGGCUCUUGACGAUCGUGUGUUGCUCCCUCACCUCGUUGAAGGAGGUGACGAAGGCUAGCUGCUGGUCCUUGACAGCGUCAAGGAACCGGUGCCCCCGGUCGAGGAUCCCAUCUGAUGGGAUUCCAAGCCACCCCGGCAAGGGUGCCGAGGUCGGUGUCGAAGGCGGUGGCCGAUGAUGACGAAGCCCCCGCCGCCACCGUAUGGCUGGACGGGGGGUCGUCUGCUUGCGGCAGAGCAUUAUGUUGCUCCUCCUCCGCAACCUCCCCCUCACCCGCGCCUGGGGACUGCGGGGCUGGCGAGGUUGCCGCGCCCUCGGCAGGGACCGCCUCCUGCUGGGUGGCACAAGAAUCUGCGCCAGCGGCUUCUACGGCCUCUGGCGCGUCACCAGACGCCGUCCCGGAGGCGGCGAUGGUCGCCACUGCCGUUGCAGCCGGCGUAGCAGGGCUUGGAUAAGGACCUUGCGGGGCCACUGGGCUUGCGGGGGGAGUUUGCCCCUCCUCCUCCGUCCCGGCAGGUGCCGCCAGGAGGUCUGUUGCGGGCGAAGCGUCGCCUGUGGAAAAAGAAGGCACAGUUGCAGGACUAACAGGCAAAUGAAAAUGCUGGUAAGGACGCGGGAGGGUGUCGUACCUGUUGCCUGCGCCACCUCAAUCGGGGCUGGGUCGCCAGCGGAUGCGGUUGCGGCACCGCUGGCCCCUGGGUCGGCCGGGUCGGCGCCGCUGCCGGCAUCCAUGCGCGCCUUCUUGCCUGGCACGGCAGGCGGGUAAUGGUCCCUCCCCCUCUUGCCGGCGCUUGCCGACGAAUCGGCCUUCGGGGGGUUGUGCCGGAGCGUGAAGCCCCGGAAGAUCCCCCGCGCGGGCAGGGCCGUGGGUGCCCGUGGGGGUGCCGCGGCCCGAGGCGCCACGGGAACCGUCGAAGGAGCCGCCACGGCGUCGGCGGCCACUGCGGGUGUGGAUGCUGCCGCGGACCCGGCGACUGCUGCUGGGGUAGUCGCCACCAGGUCGCGGGCGGUCGCUGCCGGGGUGGUCACCGCCGUGGCUCCGGCGACCGCGGCGGGGGUGGUCGCCGCUGAGGUGCCGGCGGCCGCCGACGAAGAGCCGGAGCCGCCGCGGGUGCGGAUGCCGCCGCUGCUUGCACCCUUGAUCUGCGCACAAUCAGGGUUGCGUCGUCCUCCUCCUCCUCGUAGUCCACGGGGACGACUACCUAGGUCGCGGCAGGCUGGCCCUUCUCGUCGUCUGAGGGCCAGCUGACCUCCGACUCGCUCCCGCUUUCUUUAAGCACCUGCUUCCCGCGAGGUGCAGGCGGAGGGGCAUGCGGGGUCCGAGUGGGGGAGUCGUCCCUCAGCCCCCACUCAUUGUAGGGCGGGAAGGAGGCGAUUAUGUCGGUCAGCCCCGGAACGUCGGCGUGGAGGGAGAUAACCUGCAGGGGUGGAGCUGUGCCACCUGCAGGUUGUACGACUCCAUGAGCGCAUGCAGGAACAGGGAGAACGGCGGCACCAAUCCUGCGAGGAUGAAGCGCCCGAACACCUGGAAGUCGUUUUCCUGGUGGUCGGCGCCGGCGGGGAAGAUCAGGGUCUCCGCGUGCUCAUUGAACCCGGAGGCAAUGGCGUGCCGGAUCUUGGCCAGCGCCUCACUGUUGUAGCCGGGCCGAUAGAAUCGUGGCCCUCGUCGCCCUCUUCUUCUGAUCUUUGUCGGCAGCGGCCCUUGUGGCCGCCUCGCUCUUGCUGGCCGCCAGUUUCUUUGGGGCCUUCCCUUCCUUUCCCUUCCUGGUGGUGGGGGGCGCCAUAGGGAGCGAGGGCGGAAACUAGAAAGGCUCUUGGGCGCAAGAUGCGAAAAGUUGGAGGAAGAAGGCUGGGGGCUAAGUGUUUACCCCUCAGCGCAGCAGUAAAAGCUUUAUAACACUCCGUCGUACGGUAACGGCUGUUUCCGCACCCAGCGGGUGCGCUGGGAUAAUUACUAAUCAGAGGGAUAAUGCGAAGAGUGACCUUAACUUUCCUGUUUAAGGGGGAGGUUACGGCAGAAAUUUCGUACCCACUACUUCGUCCGUAACGGCAGGGUCCUUGGGAUGGCGGAAAGACGCAGGCCCGAGACGACUCAGAACCCACGCGUUGGUUAAGGGCGUAGCACGGCAACCAACCAGGGAGGAGUCCGCCCAGGAACCAGCGUUGCCGGCCCACGCCCGGGGGCUACUGUCGCACCAGUGGCACCCGGGGUACCACCGCUGCACGACGCGCGGGUCGCCUCGUCUGCUUCCCGGGAGGAUCUCACCCCAGGCGGCAACGUGCAGGCUGCCCGGCAAGGCUAGCGGGGCUUCAGGGAAUAAUCUUGCCUGGGCGCUUCCCGGGAGGUAACUUGCCGGGAGGAGGCGUUCCCGGGCACAGGUUUCCACCGUGAGGGUGGGGCCGAGAGAACAGAGCAGCAGGGCCACGUGGGCGCGCGGCAGGCGCCCGGUGUGCAGGGUUGCCAGGACGAGGAGUGAGGCGCACGGCGCAUUUAAUGAGCCGACAGGAGGGGGGUUAUCCGUCUAGUCACGCAAACAGUGACUGCCCAGAGCUAUUUUUUAGGCCUUAGACCCCUAGCCGCGGGGUUGGCGCUCUUGCAUGCAUGUCAGCGCACCGAGGAGGAGCUGCCCAAGCUCCCUGCUCGCCACUUGUAAUCCAUGUGCCGUGGCACCUAUGGUAUCCCCUUGGCUAUAAAAGGAGGACCCCCGCCAACGGUCAAAGGGUUCAGUCUUUGGUUGGUCGAUUUUUCGUGCGUCUAACUGAUAGUCCAGCGCUAGCAUUAGCUCAGAAUAGUAAGGAGCACUUAGCCAAAAAGAGAGCACCCGGGGACCCUUCCCCGGCAACUUGUAAACCCUCAAUCUUACGAUAAUACGAGCUCAGACAAGCAGAACGUAGGGUUUUACACCGCAAGGUGGCCCGAACCUGGGUAAAAACGUUCUCGUGUUCAUUGCACUCUUACGCUUCACAUUGGCCUCGCUGGCGAUUGCCGGAGAGAUCCCCGUCCCCCACUGCCGAACCUAAAAGGCCUGCGCAUCCCCGAUGUCGGAGCCCCGUGCUACGACAGGCGUCCUGAACGCCCGCCAGCAGGAAGACCUCAGCCGGCACUUGGAGCGCCGGCACCGGCGUGAGGCGGAAGCAGCCGCCAUCAUCAACACGUACACCAUAAACGUCUGCGACCCGAAGAUGCGUGAGAAGCUCAACACGCACCGGAUCCGGACCACAAGGGAUUUCUACGCACUCGCGCAUAAGGGCGCGAUGGCCGAGCAAGGGCACUUGGCGCCCGAGCUUGCUGCCAAAGUGGGGUAUAGAACUUAUUCCCUGCUUAUUCCUUGGCUUCGGCACUACUAGAGGGUUAGCUAACCAAGUGGGGUACAGAACUUCCAUGAUAGCCCCCGCAGCCUUGAGCUUGUCCACCUCUUGCUUGAUGAAAUUUUUACGCUCCUGCGCUUGCCUUUGAAUCUUCUGCUUGACGGGGCGGACGUCUGGGCGCACCGCGAGUCCAUGCUCAAUCACGUCCCUAGGGACUUCGGGAAGGUCCGACGGCUCCCAAGCGAACACGUCGGCAUUCUCCCGCAGGAAACUGACGAGGGCGCUUCCCUAUUCGGCAGUAAAGUUCGCACCGACGGUAAUGGUGCGCUCCUUGUAGCCGGCUUGGAGGGGCAGCUUCUUCACCUUGGUGGCCUCCUCCCGGAGCUUCUGGCCCUUGCCGGGGCACGAGCUCGAGCCUGCGCUUCCCCCGGCAAGCUGUUGCGGCGCAGCGCGGGCCUUCUACGUUACCGGGCCGUCACCUGGUGAGCCUUCGUCUCCGUCAACGUCCUCGUCACCGGCGGCGGCUGCAGCGGCGGCCCUGACGACCUCGCCCACGCACCAGGCCGCGUCCUAGAGGUUGCACCUGAUGGAGAGGACUCCAUACACGGACGGCAUCAUCAUCACGCCAUAGGCGCCAUGCGUCGCCGCCAUGAUCUUGAUCAGCACUGGCCGACCAAGGAUCCCGUUGUAGGGCAACGGGGUGUGCGCCACGUCGAACACUAUGUGCUCGGUCCUGAACGCUUCCCGGGACCCGAAGGUCACCGACAGCUUGAUGCGCCCCAAGGGGCGCAUGAUCUCGGGGUUUACUCCCCGAAACGGGUCAGUGGAUUUCAGCUGCUCCACCGGCAACUGGAGUUUCUCCACCAACCUGACGGACAGGAGGUUUAGCCCCGCUCCGUUGUCCACCAGCACCUUGGUCACUGUCAUCUUGCUGAUGAUCAGUGAGACCACGAAGGGUAUGACCCCCGAACCCAGCUGCCGCGCUGGGUGAUCGUCGGCGCUGAAGGUGAUCGGCACGUGCAACCACCUCAGCGGCUGCUGCGGCUCCGCAUCCGGCAACAGCGCGCACACGUCGCGGGUGAGGCGCUUCACCGCGGCAUGAGAUGGGAGAGCGUAAGCACCCCCGUGGAUGCAGGCGAUGCCGCGGGGCUCCUGGAACCUCGGCUCGUCGACGCCAGUGCAGUCAGACUCCGGGGAGGGCGCUCCCUGCUAGCGCGGGCCUGGCUGCGUCCUCCCUGGGCUUCCUCCCUGGGGUCGUUCGGGCAAUCUCGGGAGAGAUGCCCGAUGUCACCGCAGUUGAAGCAGGCAUCGGCUGCUCGGCGCUCCUCGUGGCGUUGUUCGCGCAGUCCUGUGCAUCGUGGGUAGAAUUGGCAUGGAUGGGGCAGCGGGGUGCAUCGCCCGGCUGGCCGCAAGACCAACCACCGGGCGAGGCCUUCUUUGCAGGCCUCGCAGCAGCGGCCCCCGAGUCAGCAGCGAGGACUUGCUUCCCGCUGCGCUCGCGGGAACCCUUCUUGUGCGAACCCUCUCCUGGGCUCGCGGCAGCUUGUGCGCCAGGGCGUACAGAUCCUGCGUCGUCCGGAUCCGAUGCGUGCUCAGCUUCUCGCGCAUCUUGGGGUCGCGGACGUUGAUGGCGAAGGUGUUGACGAUGGCGGCAGCCUCCGCCUCCGGGAUGGAGUAGGAGAGACUGGAGAAGCGGUUGACAAAGCUCCGCAGCGUCUCUCCCGGCUUCUGCACGACAGUGUACAGCUCCGCCAUGAUCCCUAAGUGCUUGUAACCGCCCUCAAAUGCACUCACAAACUGCUCGCGCAGGUCCGUCCAAGUGGCGAUAGACCCAGCGGGCUGGUUGAGCAGCCAGGUUCUCGCUGAUCCUUUCAGGACCAUCGGGAACCAGUUGGCUCUAACCUUGUCGUCGGCGCCGAUGGCAUCCAUCCCCAAUGUGUAGGUCAGGAGGAAAUCCUUGGGAUUCACGGUCCCAUCGUACGUACCGAGCGCGGGCGCUCGGAACUUGCGGGCCAUGUCACCCGCUGCAACUCGCGAAUGAACGCAGUGCAGCCGUCCUCGGGGCCCAUAGGAGCAUCUUCCUGCUCCUGCGGGCAUUGGUGCUCUACCUCGCGCCGAUGCUAGCGCUCCAGGCACUAGCGCAGAUCCUCUUGCUGGCGGGCAUUCAAAAUGCCGCGCGUGUCACCUCGCACGAUGGUGGGUGACGAGUCCGACGACCCCUCCAGGUCCCCGUCUCCCUGGCCUCCCUGCGGGGGAGGGUUUUCCCCUUGUCGCGAGGCGCGGGGAGCGUCUCUGAGCUCUGGGUUCUGCCCGCGGCCGGAGCCUGCCGGGACGCCCUCGCCCUGCGGCUGUUGGGCGGCGAGCGCGACGAGCGCGUCCAACUCCUCGCCCCAUGUCUCGUGCGCCGACGUGCCCUGCUGCGGCUCGUACUGCACCAUGACCUGCGCGGCGAUGAUGGCCUCCGCUGGGGUUCGGGCGGGGGGCAGCCGGUUUCCCGAGCGGCUGCCCUCCGCUCUAUCCCCAGACGCACCUGGGUGCGCGGGGUGCGACCCCGCCGGCGUCACUCGCGACGCAGUAUGCUCGUGGCGCAGCUGAUGCUGCGCGCCUUCAGCCCGCGAUUCGACUCGCUGGCCGGCGCGGGCGGCACCAUGUUCGCUCGCACGGCUGGCCCCGGCACUGGGGGCCGCCGGCCCCCUCAGCCGGUUAUCCGCCGACGGCCAAGGAGGUGGGGGCAGCAGCUGCGAUUGCUGCGCUCGUGAGGGUUCAUGAUUUUCCUGAACCCGCGAUGCGGGUUGCGCGUCGUGGGACCGCGUGUGUGCCGCUGGGCCUUCACGCGGGUCGAUCCGAGGGUCACCAGCCCGCUUGGGAGGCAUGGUAGUUGGCACUGUCGUCGAGGAAGACGAGGCCGAUGUUGGUGUAGACGCUGCCGCCGGCGGUCACCGGCGAGCUCUCCUCUCGCGCCCCCUACCUGGCACGCCAGAUGUCGUCGCACGGGGCUUCGACACCGGGGAUGCGCAGGCACCCCCUUUUUAGGUUCGGUAGUGGGCUACGGGGAUCGCUCCGGCGAUCGCCGGCGAGGCCAAUGCGAAGCGUAAGAAUGCACCAAGAACGCAUGCACACGCUCUUUACCCAGGUUCGGGCCACCUUGCGGUGUAAAACCCUACGUCCUGCUUAUCUGAGCUCGUAUUGUCGUAAGAUCGAGUGUUUACAAGUUGCUGGGGAAGGAUCCCCGAGGACCCUUUUUUCGGCUAAGUGCACCUUGCUACUUUGGGCUACUGCUAGUGUGGUAUUACGAGUUGGUCCAGCGAACGAACGAACCAACGAACCUUUUGACCGCUGGCGGGGGUCCUCCUUUUAUAGCCAAGAGGAUACCACAGGUGCCACGGUGCAUGGUUUACAAGUGGCGAGCAAGGAGCUUGGGCAGCUCCUCCUCGGUGCGCUGGCAUGCAUGCACGAGCGCCAACCCCGCGGCUAGGGGUCCAAGGCCUAAAGACUAGCCCUGGGCAGUCACUGUUUGUCCGACUAGACGGAUAACGCCCCUCCUGUCGGCUCGUUAAAUGUGCCGUGCGUCUCACUCCUUGUCCUGACGAUCCUGCACACUGGGCGCCCGCCGCGUGCCCACGUGGAGCUGCUACUCUGUCUGCUCAGCCCUGCCCUCGCGCGGAAGCCCGCGCCUGGGAACGCCUCCUCCCGGCAAGUGCCUUCCCGGGAGGUGCCCAGGCGGGAUUAGUCCCCGAAGCCCCGCUAGCCCUGUCGGGCUGGUAGCUUGCCGGGCGGCUUUCACGCCACCGCUCGUGAUGAGACCCUUCCGGGAACCCAGUGAUGCGACCCACGCGUCGUGUAGCGGUGGUACCCCGAGUGUCACUGGUGCGACAGGAUCCCAGCGUGGAGCGAGUGCGCUCUAGGCGGGAGCAGCCAAUAAGGUUCGUCCUCGCUGGUGAUACCCUUCACCCAGAAUUGCACUUCCUCCGGGAGGAGGUCCGUGCGCUGUAGCCGGGUCCGGCCGCCAGCCCCGGCGUACAUCCACGCCGGAUGCGAGCGCCGCUGCAGGGGGGCCACGCGCCUCCCGAUGAAGUGGCGCGCCCCAUCCGUGUCCGUGAGCCCGGCCUCACGAAGCGUCUUGAUCUUCGCACAGAUUGGGGCCAGCUCCUCGUCCUUCUGGUCGCAGAGCGUCCAGCUGUUAGAGCCCCUUGGAGGCCCAAGGGGCUCCUCGUGAAACUCCUGGAGCUCGUCGGUGCGCACCCAGCACCAGUCGCGGCACCACUCGUGCUUGAUCUUCUUCUUCCCCAGCUCGAUGAAUUCCGAUUUGAUCCUGUCGCGGAAUUGGAACACUACACCCGAGGACAGGGGAGCCUUCUUCUCCACCCUCGGGUAGUAGUCGUGGUGGAAUAGCGCCACCGACAGCAUCACCCCCACGAACGCUUCACAAAGGUGUUGGAAAACAGCCAAUGUGAAGAACGACGUGGGGUGAAGCUGCGCCAUGAUGAGCCCGUAGGUCUCCAUGAUGGCUGAGAGGAAGUAGGAGUGCGGCGGCAUGAACCCGGCAAGGAUGAACCUCCCGAAGAUCCGAAAGUAGUGCCCGUGAUGCUCCGCGCCGACGGGGAGGACCCGCGUUGGUCCGUGCUCGUUGUGCUUGGUGGCCAGUGCCAGGACCAGCUUGUCGACUCCCUCGCCGUUGUACCCGGGGGAGAAGAAAGCGUACUUGGCUCGCAUUUCGUCAUCCUUCCGGGCUCUGUCCGACAGCUCCUUCUUGCCGGCCUUUUCGCGCUUUUCCCCUUUGCUGCUGCUCCCCUUGGGAUGGUUCUGACCCUUGGAAGACAUCAGCGGAGGUGGAGAGGAGAUUUGGUCAAAGUUGGGGCGCAGGGAGCUUGGGAGGAGGCAAUGGCAGGAGCGAGAGACAAUGGAGAGUGCCCGCCUCCGGCCUUGAGUAUUUAUCGGGGCUGGCAGACUGCAACGGACACCCCCACGAUCAGCAAUAAAGAGCCCUAAAGAAUCGGAGAUUAAGAGGAGGGUGCGCGACGUGGCCUUAACUCUCUGGGGAUUAAGGGGGAUAAGGUACGAAAUCGUGCGCCCGACCGUUUCGCUUGGAGAAGUGGAACUAUAAAUGCGGCCCACGAGGCACUUGCUGGAAGCUUCAAGGUUGCCGGCCCACGCCCGGGGGCUACUGUGGUACCAGUGGCCCACGGGGUCCCACUGAUACGGGACGCGUGGGUUGCCAGUGACGAAGCCCCAUCAGGAAGGACUCCCGGGAAGCGACGAGCCCGAGAAGCCUGCCUCGAGGAGACGACCCCUAGUGAAGCUAAAGCUAAGGGCCGAGAACAAGAUGCUCCCGGGAACCCCGGUCCCGGGAAGUCGAAGGAACGCCCACCGGCAACUAACCGGUGCGCUAGCUGGGAAGGUGCACCCCAGCAACCCGCGCUCGGGCAUGCAGGCGGGACCCGCAGAACAAUGAAGACAGGACAAGACGGCGGGUGCAGUGCAUUUAAUGCACCGACAGGAGUCUUAUCAGCAGGCCUAGUCUUGCUUAGCAAGGCUAGAGCGGCUACCCUCAGAACCAUUUUUUUUUUCUACCGUAUACAGUGGACCGGGCGCUGCAUGGCGUCCAGCGUGGAUGAGCAAAAGUGUAUUCCGCGUGGCUGUGACACGCGUCUAGGCAACGUGUCAUGCUGCAUGCAUUGGCACCUGUGGUAUCCCCUUGUCUAUAAAAGGAGGGCCAAUGCCACCGGUCAAAGGAUUCAGGUCGGUUCGAACCCGAGUGAGUAGAACAUAGCACAGCGUUCACCUAAGUAGCCAACCCGGGAACUCCCCGGGUGAUCUGUACGCACUCAAACUUGUGAAUACAACUCAAAGCAGGACGUAGGGUAUUACACCUCCGGGUGGCCCGAACCUGGGUAAAAACUCUUGUGUCUAGUCUUCGUGUCUAUCGCCACGCCGGCGAUCGCCGAAACGAUCACCUCGCCCUCCACCGCACCAAAAAGGGGGUGCCCGGCAUCCCCGGUGCCGGAGACCGUGCUCCAACACCUCUUGCGGUUCCCUCACCCCUCUAACGGUGAUUAGCUUCUUAGGAAGUGAACAUCGGGAUAAAUCAUCGUCUCCACGUGCCUCGGAUAUUCCUAAACCGAGUUCAUUCACUUGUGCUUUAAUUUUUGAUAGCCAUCGUGCUUGAAGUCAUAUAUUAUCUUAUAGAGUGAAAUACACCACUAGUCCAUAAACUUGGAGCGAAUGCACACUUUAGUCCACGAACUCAGAAAUGCACACAUAAAAUCCUAAACUGGUAUUAGUGUAACACUUAGGUCCAAAAACGGUUCGGCAUGAUUAGUUUCGGCCCUGUGGCAGCUACAUCAGCUUAAGUCGCAUCGCAAGUUGCUAUUUGGGUUUUUGAGGUCUUUUUCGCAAAAAAUUAACAUAAUUCUAGGAAAAAUUUGACAUAAUGUUCCGCGGGUUGUUGUUGAAUUAGCAAACAAUUAACAUAAUUAUGUGCAUGUUGUUGUUAAACUUUUGCAAAAACUCCCCUGAGAAACCCCAGCAGCAACCCAUGGUCAUGGCUUAAGCCCAUGUGGCCGAAAUUAACUACGUCGAACUAUUUUUGGACCUAAGAGUUGCACUAAUACCAGUUUAGGGCUUUAUGUGUGCGUUUUCUGAGUUCGUGGACUAAACUGUGCAUUUGUUCCGAGUUUAUGGAUUAGUGGUGUAUUUUACUCUAUCUUAUAUGUGCUUUGUGCUAUCUUAUAUAUCUUGUGCUAACUUGUUAUUUAAUAUAAGUGAUCAUCUUGUUAUAACUUAAGUUGUUGGUGCACUAUAGUUGAGGGUAGCAUAUUUAGGAUUUGUGCUUGAAAAUAUCCGACUAGUUUAAUUCCGCAUUUAGAAUAUAUAGAGCCAAGUCCGUAAAAGUUUUAAAACACCUAUUCACUCCCCCUCUAGGCGACAUCGAGGGUCUUUUCACUUACAUGAUUACAAUUGAUAUAUUAAUUGUUUAGCAUUACAUGCUUGAAUAUAUAUGUGUAGCAUUUACCUGAUUAGAUAUAUUUGUAUAGCAAUACAUGUGUAGAUGUAUGGUUUUGUCAAUACCUGUGUACCCAUACUUGUUUAGCAAUAUCCUAUUUAGAUAUAUCUGUUUAGAACUAUUGUGCAGAUAUUUAUUUUUUAGCCAUGCAUGUGUAGAGAUAUCGUGAUCCUUAUCAAUAUCAUGAAUAUUGUAGCAUCACCUGGGAUGAUGGCCAUUGCAUUGUUAUUGGAUUUUUAAUAGUUGUACCUCAAUUGGAAGUACACCUACUUACUGUUGCGACUCACCUUUCACCUUGGUCAUAAUCCCUUGUAUUAACCAGUGAUGGUAAUUAAUUACUUUAACAAUAAAAUUGGGCAUAAUUCUUGUUGAGUACUUUAUGUACUCAUCCCCUGCUUAUUUUGGUUCAGCUGUUACUAUUUCCUUGCCUGAAGUUGAGCACUACGAGGACAGUUCAGUAGAUGUUUUACCCACCUCAGCUAUAGCCCUGUGUUAGAUGGACGCCAUGGUUUAUCUUCGGCCAUUCUAUGGCGACAAUUUGUAUUCUUUCCGCUGCUCUUUAUUUAUUUCCGCUACUACUCUUGUUCGUAUUUGAAGACUUCUAUAUUUUGUUAGCGUGUCACAUCAGUGUUGUAUAAAUAAAUAAUCCGAUAUGUAUGUAUGUAAAGUUUGUGAUGUGAUACUUGAAAAUGGAUAUGUAUGCAUACUGGCUAUCCUGGGAAAGUAUGAUGAGGAUAUCCCGGUCCAGGAAUACUUAUUUUAUAUUAUUCUGGGGUUGAUUAUGCUAUUGCCAUUAAUUGGACAUCGGUAUAAUUAAGCUUAGUAUAAUCUAGUGUAUAGUAAUCCCGUUCCGUUAUAGUGUAAAUUCUAUCCAAUAAAAAUGUAGUGGAGAUGACAAUGAAGUUCGUGUGUUUCCUAAUCUCAUGUUUUUUAUCCUACAAAAUCAAAUAGGCAUGUUAUGCUCAACCCUUCAAAAUAACACAGUUAGCAGCUUAUGACCAAGUCACAACAUCGUCUCUUUCUCGUUGCACUUUGCUACAGAAACCAAAAAUACUACAGUAAAGAAACCAUGGUAAAAUCCAACGCACCCACAAUGGAAUUGUGCGACAACAUAAGACAUCAAAAGAUACACACCUACGCGCAAGCUUUGCUUGGUCCAGAGAGGGGGGGGGGGGGAGGGUGCUAGGCGACAGAGUGCAUCGAUAGCCGCACCACGAACUGUGAGACCUACUUAAAACUCGAAACCUCAUCCAUCUGAUAUUCGCAACAUCAAAGUGUCGCAUGCAAAAUUGUUUUUCUAUGUUUCAAACAUCGUUACCCAACUUGUCUCAAGAAACACCUAAAACCUUGCAAUAUUUCUUUCAUGCCCAUGUAACAAAGAAUUAUGUGUAUGCAACAAAUCACAAUGCAUAUAGCAAAACACCUAUAGAAAAGGUCGCAUCAUAUGCAGCGUAAAAACCAAUGUUUGCAACAUACAUAGUGUAUGCAACAAUGAGAAAAAACAUUUGCAACAUCAAAAACAAUAUUCCCUCCGUUUCUUAAAUUAGGGCGUAUAUUGUUUCCUUUGACCAAGAAUUAAUCUACUAAUAUAUAUUUUUGUGAAAUAAAAUUGAUAUCAAUGCAUUCGUAUUCAAAAGUACUCCCUUCGAUUCUAAAUUCUUGUCAUUAUUUUGAACUAAAACAACGACAAGAAUUUAGGAUCGAAGGGGAUACUUGUUUAUGUAUGAUUUAAAUCACAUAAAUCACACUUCGAUGGAAUAAUCCUUGGUCAAAAGCUCGGUAAAAAAAACAAUAUACGCUCUAAUUUAAGAAACGAAGAGAGUAUCUCGUACACACAAGAAUCGUUACAACAUAACAACCUUGUGUCCAUAGCAAAUAAUGAGCAUGCUUGUAACAUGUCGAGAAACCAUUUGCAACAUCAAAAUUUUCAAAAUUAUUGAUCUUCCACUGGCACACAUCUGGGACGGCACCUUCGCAAGUUUGAACUCGCUGGCGACGAAGCCAGUUCGCCCGAGUAUUGUCUAAGGCGAAACAGAUGAUCACGAACUCAUUCCCCUCAAUCCCAAAGUGUUUUAAAGCUUAAACAUCAAUAUAAACUUUAUGGAAUUGUCAAUGCCACAAGCAACAUGGAAACUGAAGAGAUGUACUAGCUCGGAAGGAGGAGUCAAAAGAGGCACAGCUAAUGGAAGGAACCGCCGGCAUCGAACAGAGUAGCAGCCUGCAGCGGCGGUUACGAGGAAGAUGGGAGUCUAGUGACGAGAGGAAAAACACAAGGCACGCGGGACGCCGCCGCCGCGAGAGAGAAUCGUUUCCAAAAACAGAAAAAUUCGCACUAGAGGCCCGAAAUUCCCAACGAAUCCAUGCUACCUGGCAUGACUGAAGCCAUUUUUACCUAUGUACUGCAAGAAGCUAGAAUGUUGAAUUCACGCGAUGCUACUGCACACGAGUAAAACAACGCAGGCAACACGAGCCCCCCGGGCUCAGCUACAGCUGGAACCAACUCUCCCCCAAGCACUGGAUGGAAAUCUUGACCUCUUGGUCAUGCUCAGCUCAGCCAUUACCUGCGUCGUCCGUGCAACAUGACAGCAGCAGCAGCACGAACCUAGGACAAUCAUUUCAGCGCCGACGGAUUCAGAUUCGUUUAUCUCCGGCAACGCUUCUCUUCGCCAGGCGUCAGCAGAUAGAUAGGUACUGCCUCUAUUGUCUGCACAGCACAGCGCAGCACAUAAGGUUUGCUACAUGAUCUAUUCAUCUGUGGCGCCGGAAACAGCAGAAAGGAACACAGCUCUGACGCAGCCGUGUUCCUGCGGCUCCGUUGAUCAACAACUCAACGUCUUACCAAAAGAAGGCACCGGGUCGAAACAAGCAGAUUACCAGCUCAAAACAGAGAGUAAACAAGUAGAGCAAACCAUCAUGGAACGGAACGAUUCAACAACACAAAAGCAGCUGAAGAACAACGGCACAGAAGACAGAACAAGGCGAUAAAUCGGAACAAGAAGAAAAUCAUACACUGACAACAGAUCGAAAGAGGUGUGAAGGUCACUGUAAUUCUCGCUUUGAAUCAACCGCCGUGACGAUAAGCCAUGCAUCAAGACCUGAUGAGGCAGACACCCCCGGCUAGUGGUUUCUUCCUGGACGGAAAUGAUCUGCUAACUGCACUGCAUUGCAUUGCGUUUGUGCGACAGAGAGAUACAGGAUACACCAUCGCCGGAGGAGAGUGAGACCCCUACGCCUCCGGCGAGCAACAGUAGCAAACAGCACGGACUGACACACCACCCACACCCACCGGACAACGCCGCCUCGCCUUGCCUCAUUUCCCACUCUGAAGAAUUAGGACAACACAGAACAGAGAAAAACACCCCCACAUUGAACACCACAUCUGGGACAGUGGAAAAGUUAGCGCAUCCUUUCCGUCCCGGCUCACACGAAGCCGACCUCGGCGAACUGCAGGCGCGGCUUGGACGUGGUGGAGCCAGGGCGCGGGACUGGCAUCAUGCCGUCCGGGAGCGGGUUCUUGCGCGGCCGGCCUCGCGGGCGCGGGACCUUCGGAGGCGCGUGUGGGUCCCUCGGCUUGGGAGGACGGCCGCGCCGGCGCGGCGCGGCAGGAGUUGCCGGGGCGACGGCUAGUCCGUCGCUAGGCGCGCCGAUGGCGGCAGGAGGUCCGCCGGGGUAUCCUGGCGGCGGGCGCACCUUCGGGGGCCGGCCGCGGCCUCGCUUGGGGGGAGGCGGCGGCGGCGCGUCGUCGGGAGAGCCGUCGUCGUCCUCCUCCUCCUCUUCUUCCGCCUCUACGGGGCGUCCCACCGGCGGCGGGGGGAGCGCGUAUUUCCCUCCGGCGACCGCCACGAGCCGGUCGGUGGCGGACAUGCGGGAGAGGUGCGCGGCGACGAGCGCGGGGUGCGACGGCGGGAGCUCGCCGGCGGCGCCGCGGGCCGCCUCGAUGCGGCGCGCGAUGGCGGCCUGGCUGGAGCCGUUAUCCUCGGCCAGCGACGCGAUCGCCUCCACGAUCAUCUGCACCCAAGCACAAGAAGCCAAAGAAGUCAAUUUUCGGAGACGGAUCGGGAUGCGCCGGGCGCAGAUCUGGCGAAAACAAAAAAAGGCGCAGGCAGCAGCUAGGGUUUAGUUUAGAGGGAGGAGGGGCGGUUUGCCUCGGGGUAGGAGGGGAGCACGGCGAGGUCCGAGGGCGCGGGGGGCGACGACUCGUCGCCGCUGGAAGUGGAAGUGGCCAUGCCUGGGCCUGACUGCGUCGCCCGCUCGCUGUCGCUCCGUGUGAGAGAGGGGGAGAGAGAGAGAGACUGGAGAUGGAUUUGGAGGGUUGGGAGGGGGUGGGAAUUGGGGGCGCAGCAGCGCACGGGGGCCGCGAGGCGGAUCUGAGAGCGGGGUGCGGGGCGCUGCGGAAAUAUGGAAUGGAAGUACAGUUUCGACAAGGAAUCUGUCCGGUCGGAUAGUAGUCCCGCUGCCCGGACCGGCGUUCCACCCGCGGCAAUGAUGAUCACGCCUCAGGCUCGCUCGUCACUCAUCGCUCAUCGGACAUGUCACUGCUUGCCGAUAGCUUGCAUUUGCAUGCCACGACAAAGUACUCCCUCCGAUUGGUUGGAAAAAAUUUGUUUACAUCUGAUUAUAAAUCUCCGAUUGUUGAAUAACCAGUACUCUUGUGUGCACAUAAAAUACUCUCCUAAAUUCUCGUCGUAGUUUUAGUUCAAAUUUUCGAAAGAAUGGAGUAGUUGAUAACUCGGGCUCAAAACAAACCAAACUUUUGCGGAAAUAUGGAUGUCGAUGUCAACUAUUGGUGGUGUGAUAAAGACUUGUUUUUUUUUGGCGCCCAUGCGAUCCCAUGUUUCAUAUGUCAAAAGCAUGCAAGAAUGGCAAGUGGAGAUUGAAGUGGAAGAGCAAGUUAUGAUGGAUGCAAACAACUUGAAGGAGGAAUGUUAAGGUGGCAUGGGUGAACUAAUGGUCAAAAUAGAAUUCAUCGUGUCGAGUGAUGAUCGUCUAUUGCACUUUUGGGAUAGCUUUAUAAUUGCGAAACACCUGGUGAUCGAACAAGGUGCCAAAUGUUGAUAGAGUUGUCAUCUGUUGUAAUGGCCGGCCGUUGGUCGUGAUGUAACAAGCUAAAGAGCAUUGCUAGUAGGCUAAAGCAUUGUUUCAGCCCUAGUCUUUUAUAUUUUUGUGUAAUAAAAUAACUUCAAAUGGAUGACAAGAGGAGCUCAUGGCGCAUCUUAAGGAAGAAAGCGAAAUAGGAAAAAAGAAACCUAUAUUCAACAACAAUUGUAGCCUUCUGCUUGUUUUGCCUAUGAAAUUGGAGCACUUUUUUAUAGAGCAAGAACGCUUAUUGUAGCAUUAUUUUGCAAAAUCAAACUUGAAUAUCUCUUUUCAUAUUAGGCGAUCGAGAAUCAUUCGAGAGUCAGAGAUCAAAGAGAGGCCAAUUCACUCUGAACAUGCAUGUGUCGAUAGGUUUAUCCUUGGACGGUCGAAGACCAUUCGAGAGGCACAAGUUAACUCCAAACAUACACAUGUCGAUGGACUUAUCCCUAUGAAAAGUAAAAUAGAAAAAAAAAUAAACUCAUCAUGUUCAUGGAUAGUGUCCAUGCAAUCAAAAGCUUGGUUGGCAGACAAAAGGAAAAACUGCUCCACGACAACUCAUUGGCGUUGAUGCCACUCUUUGGAGUCAAAAUGGUGAUGAAUGACGAGCCAAAUAGGAGAAUUUUUCUGACUAGCGUGAGAAGUUGCAAUUGCUAGAUGGCCGUGCGUGACAUUGACACACCGACAGCUAGAUGCCACGUCCAGCUUUCAUCCAAGGCGUGGGAAUGUGCAUCAUGUUUUACGCUGAGUCGGGAAUGCCCCCGGCCAGGUGGGGCCGAGGCUUAUUUUUUUUAGAACAACGAUUGCUGAGUCAUUCAUGUUUUAUCGUGGCUUUAUUGAUUUAUGAGAAAAAUACAAAAGAUCAAUACAGUCGAAAUUAACACUAGAUUUUUUUUUAUUUUUUGAAAAUCAACCAGGAUGUUGAUUAGUUACUGAAAACCGGGGUCUUACAGAGUCUUACAGUAUCCGGCAAAACCUCCUGGGGAGCAGAAUUAAGGAGGAAACGAGAAGACUUAGAGUUACGGCUGAAUUGUGCCAGCAGGUAGCAGGUGAGCUGCCUGGACCUGUCCCCGGCCCACUUUGCUGACGCUCAUCCUCGGGUUCUGGUAGAUCAAAAAUUCCGCCUCUUCAAUAACGUCGAACCAUCCGACUUGUCUCUUGUCUUAGCGUUGAUUGCACUGAAAAGCGGCGGAGCUAUCAGACUCGAGACCAAUUGGGAUGGAGCAGUGUCUUCGGGCCAGAGACGCUCCCUCUCUGCAAGCAAUGGCUUCAGCUUCGUCAGCGGAUCUGACAAAGUGCAGCAGCCCCAGGGCAGAGAACACCACAUCACCGUUGUUAUCCAGAGCAAUUGCUCCCCAGGCACCAGAAUUCUCGCCAGCUAAGAAGCUUGCGUCCGUCAGCAAUUCAAGAGAGUAACGCGGAGACGAUGACUCACGGUUUUCACAGUCACACGUUGUUUCAUCUCGUGCCACCAAAUUAAUUUAUUUUGUCCUAUGCUACAGAGAGAUUAGCAGGGAAAUUAGUACUUGCGACAAGCAUUUAUUUUCUUACUGACGACUCUUUAUUUUUCUCUAAUUUUCUCGUUCUCUGCAUCUCUGUCCUAUUUUCAAGUACAUUGUUCUCUCGUUCUCUGCAUCUCUGUCCUAUUUUCAAGUACAUUGUGGUACAUGACAUGUUUUUAAGUACAUAUUUAUACAUUAUGAUAAAUUAAUUGUAUCUUAUCAGUUUUUAAAUACCCCGUGUACAUGAACUUAUAAGACGAGUACAACGUAUGGUACAUCACAAGUAUCUUAUUAGUUUUUAAGUACCAUGUGUACAUAGACUUAUGAGACGAGUACAUCGUAUGGUACAUCACAUUUAUUCAAAAAAAACACAGUACAUGAUGAGUACAUCAAGUUACAUGACAAGUACAUCAAGAUACGUCACAGAUAAAUCAAGUUACAUGACAAGUACAUCAAGAUACGUCACAUAUACAUCAAGUUACAUGACAAGUACAUCAAGGGUACCUCACGCAUACAUCAAGUUACAUGACAAAUACAUUAAGGUACAUCACAGAUACCUCAUCAAUCCUACAUCAUAACAAUCCGAUGGAUCAAAGAGAAGAACUUGAAUUCAAAUUUAAAUUCAACAAAACCAAGUACCUAAGUACAUAUGUAAUCGAAUUCAACAAAGCAUAAUCACAGGAGAUAGAAAAUCCUUCGUAGGUACCUCAUCAAUCACAAUCACAGUACCUCGUCAUGUACCAUGGUACAUCACCUGUACCUCGACAAUUAUUAAGUACAUCAUCAUAUCUUGACAAAAUCACCAAGAAACAAAUAAUAGUACAUAGAUCAAAUAAAUUUUAGAAGAUACCUAAAGCACUGAGAUGCAAGAAAAAUUCUCAAUUCAAAAAAAAAUCACAGCAGCAACAUCAUGCACCGGGACAAAAAAUCAGAUCGAGAGAUGCGGAAGGAGAAUAAGAUCGAGAGACGUGGAAAUCUGCUGCUCCAAACGUGAACAACGCAGUGGAGGGAGCCGCCACGGGGGAGUGGGAGCCCAGCAUGACGGCCAUGGUGGAAGAGGAGGCAGCAGGGCGGCUUGUCUGCCGCGCUGGAGGAGGGGCCGGCGUCCGCGACGGCCCGCAGGGGCGGCGGCCGCCGAGCACUACUACAAAACGGUCUAUAUGCCACGCAACAUCAGUAAUGGGUCCGGCGCGACCGUUACUGAUAAAAAACAUCAGUGUCGGUCGCGGCCACGACCGUUACUGAUGAACCGAGCGGGAACCGUCUGUCCCCGCCCAGCCACACAUCAGUGGCGGUCGCGCGACACGACCGCCACUGAUGAACACUCAUAGCUCGCGAGUUACAUCCACUGAUGAACCAUGCAUCAGUAACGGUCGGACUAGCUCGACCGUUACUGAUGUGUACACGAUUAUCAGUAACGGUCGAGAAAACCUCAACCGACACUGAUGUUACUCGCGUAUUAAGUACGAUGUGCGAAGCCACAACUGGUCGCGCCGCGCGUCGUGACGGACCAGCUGUGGCCCCUUCCUCUCUGGCGACGGCGACCCGACCGCGCCAUGGCCUCCGGCAACCACCCUAGGUGCGCCCUCCUCCCUCCCCCCCGCGCCGGCGACGCCGCCUCCAUGGCCGGCGAGCGGCCGGCGCGCUCCGAUCUUCGAGCCCUAAGCUUCCCUCUCCCUCCCGAUGUCUCUCCCCCCCCCCCCCGAUCUCUCUCGCCGGCCUCAAUUUCUCUCCGAAAUUUCCCAAUUUAAAAUUUUUGAGCUCCGCGGUCGCCGGCUGAAAUGCGGCGUCCUCAUCGUCACCCGGAGCUUCCUUCUCGCUUGCGUGCUCUCUCUCCCUCCUGAUCUUACUCGCCAGCCUCCAAUUUCUCUCCGAAUGUCUCUAAUUUCAAAAUUUUAGUUAGCUCCGGUUAAUUAGCACAUUAAUUUCCUUGUCAAUGAUUAGGCUAACUAUUUUGCUUUUUUGUUUUCUUGUGAAUUGUGUUGUAGAUCGAAGGAUCGUUCUUGGAUGUACGCGAAGGAAAGAAUCAAUGCUCGAUGGAUAACCGAAUGGACGGUCUUUUUUGGAGUCAUGAAAGGUGAUAUGGAACGAAAAGGACUUUUGAUGAUGCGUUGCCCAUGUCGCAAAUGUGGAAACACAUGCAUGAUGAAGCCUGAAGAUGUUCAGAUGCACGUGCUGGCAUCGGGUUUUGUCGAUGGUUAUUCUCGCUGGACUUGUCACGGGGAGGAUGCGGUUGAUGUCGGUAGCGGUAGCGAAGAUGAUGAUGUCCUGCGGUAUGAUCUGGUGAAUGAUUCUGAGAAAGAAAUAAGGGUCGAUGAGGAGGCUAAUGUGGAAGGUGAAGUAGCUCCACGUGGCAGGAUUGCCGAAAUGCUAGAUGACCCGUACCUACGGGACCAGCUGGAGGACCCCGAAGAUGAGGCAGAGUCUGCUCAGUUCAAAAAAUUGUUGGAGGACGUAAACACACCCUUGUAUGAUGGAGCUGGCGAAGAAAACAACGUGCUCGAAGUGACGCUCGAACUUUUGAGGCUGAAGGCAGCAUCAUGCUGGUCGGACAAGGGCUUCACGGGCUUGUUGAGUUACCUUGCUUCGGUUUUUCCACAGCCAAAUAAGUUGCCCAAGAGCAGAUACGAGGCGAAAAAGAUUACAUGCCCGCUCGGAUUGGAUUGCGUGAAACAUCAUUCAUGUCCAAACGACUGCAUGGUAUACAUUGGAGAGUACGAGAACCAUGAGAGCUGCCACAUAUGCGGUGCAUCGAGAUACAAGAAGAAAAACGCCAGAGCUGGCGAAGACGAUGGGGAAGAAGUGAUGAAGGGCAGGCCGGCAAAGACUGUCUGGUAUCUUACGAUAGGUGGCCGAGUUGAGCAUUGGAUGCAGAACGUUAAGGAUGCGAGGUAUCUCGUCUAUCACGAUCCGGCGCAGGCUGCAUUCGAUCCUGACGGGCACUACCGUGUGGAGGAGGCUGGGGUCCUAAGACACCCUGCCGAUGGGAUUCAGUGGAGGAACUUGGACACGUCAUUUCCAUAUUUUGGGGCAGAGCCCAGAAACCUGAGGUUCAGUCUCAGCACUGACGGGAUAAAUCCUUUCGGAAACAUGAACAACAAGCACAGCACAUGGCCAGUGAUUUUGUUCGUCUACAACGUUCCUCCAUGGUUAAUCAUGAAGAGAAAGUACAUCCACAUGUGCAUGCUCAUACAGGGUCCAAAGCAGGCAGGAGCUGACCUAAAUGUGUGUCUGCAGCUAGUGAAGGAUGAGCUGAAGCAGCUUUGGAACCCUGGCAGAGUGGUUUGGGACGCAAACAGGAGGGAGUACUUCACGAUGAGAGCAGCACUUCUGACGUGCGUGCAUGACUACCCUGUGAAUGGAAAUAUUUCAUGCCAGGUGACACAUGGCUACAAGGUCUGUACAAAGUGCGGGGAAAAUACGACAUCGAAGAAGUUGCCCGCUUCAUCCAAAAUUGUGUACAUGGGCCACCAAAAGUGGUUGGAUGCUAAAGACCCUUGGAGGAAUGACAAGGAAAGGUUCAAUGGAAAGAAGGAGCACGGGACAGCACCGAAGAAGAAGUCUGGUAUGCAAAUCCUCGAAAUUGUGAAUGAUCUUGAGGUUGUCCCCGUAGAUUGCUGUGAAGAAAUAUAAGGAACCUGAAGGCGUCGUGUGGAAAAGGAGGUCCGUAUUCUGGGACCUGAAGUAUUAGGCACAUUUAGAAUGCCGCCACAGCAUAAAUGUCAUGCGCGUGGAGAAAAAUGUAUGCAACAGCGUGCUGGGGUUGUUGAUGAACAUUCCAGAGAAGACGAAAGAUGGACCCAACGCACAGAAAGGACCUGGAACUCAUGUCUAUCAGGAAAGAGUUGUGGGGCAAAGAUCAAGUGUCGGCAGCCGACAAGAAUGGUUUCGUGACGGUGACCAUGCGGUGUCGUCUUGCAUGGUACAACCCGUACAAAGACGAUUUGCAUAGGAUGUGCUAGUGCCUGCAGGGCAUUAAAGUCCCAUCGAACUACUCAUCGAGCAUCAAGCAUCUAGUUGACAUGAAGAGUCACAAGCUAUCUGGCAUGAAGUCUCACGACAACCAUGUCAUACUCACUCAGUUACUUCCAGUCGCAAUCAGAGGUAUCAUGGAGCCGCACGUAAGGGAGACAAUCAUGAAGCUUUCUGACUUCUUUGACAGCAUCUCGCAGAAGUCAAUCACCGUUAGACGAUGCCAGAUACUGAAGGAUAGUAUGAUACAGAUUCUGUGCGAGCUCGAGAUGUUCUGCCCUCCAUCAUUCUUCAAUAUCAUGGUCCAUCUAAUGAUCCACAUAUGCGAUGAGAUCCUGUCCCUAGGGCCCUCGUUCCUACAUAACAUGUAUGGCCCUGAACGAUACAACGGGGUUCUGAAGCGGUAUGUUCGUAACAGAUCGCGUCCGGAAGGUAGCAUCGUGGAAGGCUUUAGGGCAGAAGAGUGCAUCGAGUUCUGCACGGAUUGGUUGGCCAAUCAAAAAUCAAUAGGUGUUCCCGAAUCACGACACAAGGGCAAGCUCGAUGGCGAAGGUGGCCUUGGACAUACAUACCUUAAUGUCUAUGGAAGAGGAAGGGAAGCUGACUUUGAAAGAGCACAUUUGGUUGUGUUGCAAACCGUCGAUUGCUGCCGGCCUUAUCAGGAAAUGCACAUGGAACAACUGCGAAAUGAAAACCCUAAAAGAGGAGAAGUCUGGAUCCACUGGGAGCACAAUAAAACAUUCGCAGUGUGGCUGAAGAAUUAUUGGUACGGCAGGGAGACGACCAAUGUAUCAAAAGAGACGGUUGCAUGUUUGUCACGGCAACCUGCUUUCCACGUCUCUACUUGGCAAUCAUAUGCGAUCAACGGUUAUAACUUCUACACUGCGUCUCAGGACCGUAAAAGCACGUAUCAAAAUAGUGGUGUAGUCAUGACUUCUGAGACCGCGACCGACGACAACAGCAAAACCGAAGCGUUCUUCGGCGUUAUCGAGGAGAUCUGGGAAUUGGAGUACUCGAUCACAAAGAUCCCAAUGUUCCGUGUAAGAUGGACCAAAGGUGACAAAUAAGAAAGUCACAGGUUCACGACGAUGGUGCUACCUCCUGAGAUCCCUCAUGAACAAGUUGACGUGACAAAAAUCCCGGCAAGAGAGGAACCAUGGGUCUUUGCUCAACAAUGCAAGCAGGUAUUCUAUAUAGACGACCAGGCAAAUAAAGGCCGCGUCGUAGUAAGAAAAGGGAAAAGAAGCAUUGUUGGAGUGGACGGAGUUACUUCACAAGAAGACUACGAAGGUUUCCAUGAUCCGACGACCGUCGCAGAUGACGAAGAAGCGGAACGCACGAUAUUAACGAGGAAAAGAAGAGAGAAAAGAAGAAGUGAUGGGAGCGACAGCGAGAAAAUAUCACAAAAACCCUACCUCAGAAGCAGUUCUGCGAGGAGUCAAGUUAUGACUUACCGAAGGAAGGAGAAGCACUAGUAGUCACAUUGUAAAAAUGUACUCGUACUGAAUCUUAAUGCAAACUUUGUACUAAGUGGAUUUUUUGAAAUUUGUAUGCAUGAAUUGAAAUUUCUACUAGAGAAAUGCAUGAAUACAAAUUUGUACUAGAGAAAUGCACAAAUACUAGAGAAAUACAACUCCCAAGAAGCAUAGCAGCACAUCAGUAACGGUCGCAUAGUGGUUAACCGUUACUGAUGUAUAGGAGCACAUCAGUAACGGGCCGCUACUAUGCGACCGCCACUGAUGUUCUUCUAUACAUUAGUAACGGUCGCAUCCCUUAUGCGCCCGUUACUGAUGUGCAUGGGGUAUAAAAGGGAACCCGCCAAACACUUAGAACCAUUGUUGCCUGCGCGUCCUCACCUAACCCGAGAGACCAGUUGCGGGUGUUCCUAACCCUAGCCGCGGAAGCGCCGCCGGAUUUUCGCGCCGCCACCGCCUCCUUCCUCCUCCGCCCCCGCGCCUCCCCGUCCUCGACCGGAGCCCGCCCCCGACGGCCUCCUCCGCCCCGAGCCCGCGCCUCCCCGUCCACGACCGGAGCCCGCCGCCGACGGCCUCCUCCGCCCCCGCGUCGUCACCGAGCCCACGCCCGCGCCGUCUCCGUCCUCCCCACAGGUGCGCGCCUCCUCUGCCUCCUUCUCUGCUGUUAAUUUAGGGUUAGGGUUAGGAUUAGGGUUAGGAUUCUAAUAAUUUAGUUCACUGUUAGGGUUUGAUUCUACAUGUUCACUGUAAGGGUUUGAAUUAAAGAGCAUGAUUUGAAUUAUGUAGCUAUAUAAUUUAGUUCACUAUUAAGAUUUGAAUUAUGCAGCUAUAUAAUUUAGUUCACUAUUAAGGUUUGAAUUGUCUAGCUAUAUAAUUUAGUUCACUAUUAAGGUUUGAAUUAUCUAGCUAUAUAAUUGAGUUACAUGGGCACACGUAUUGUGAAUCAAAGAGCAUGAUUUGAAUUACAAGGAGCCUUGCUGCUGCACAUUAGCCUUCCUGCUUAUAUUGUUUAGCCUUGCUGCUUAUUCAAGCCACCUUAACAUGUUGUUUACUGUUGCUGCUAUAUAAUUAGGUUCUUUAUAUAAUGCUGUCUUAUAUAUUCUUUGUUGCUGUUUAUAUGUUGCUGUCAUAUGUAUACAAGUGUUAGCUUGCUGAUAUGUAAGAGCAUGAUUUGUAGUUUGUCGUAGUGGAUAAUUGAGUUAGAUGGGCACGCAUGAGUAUAUGCAUUAUAUACAUGAUUUUUUAUAUGCUAUAUACACAUGAGUAAUGAAUUGUGGGCCCGACCAUCGUGUCAGGUCAUUCGAGAAGAGGCUGGCCAUCGUGCCGAGGGGGUACAUAUGCGGGUGGGUUUUUUAUGCAGGUUUCGAGCUCCUAGUAGAGGAAAUUUGCUAGUUUUUUUAGCAUAAGUCAUGCCGAAAUUUUCGGCCGAUACAUAUUUGAUGGUUUUGAUGGCAUAGGUACGAAAUGGACAACAGUAGCCAGAACCUAGUUCUUGAUCGGGAGGAGGUAGAUCGUGUCAAUGAAGAGUCUUCAUCGGGAGAGCAAAUUGUCAGCUCUGGCUCAGGCCCCUCUAGAUCAGAAGAGCGCAACAACGAGAGUAAUCUGCAACCUUCUGAAACUCUCGCUAAGAAGCCAAGGAAGAAGACGCCGAGGGGGAGCCACAACUUGAAGGAGUUCUGUUACGUGGUCACCCGGCACUCUGAUAGAGGCCGCCCGGAGUCGCCUGAGAGGGCACAGAAGGCCUUCGCAACGACUUGUGGAGCCGUUGCACGCCAGUAUUGCAAGAUCACCGACGAGUGGGGUGACAUCUCCCAAGUCGUUAGAGACAAAUGCAUCAAGGAAGUUGCAAGGAGGUUCCAAGUCACCGACGAGUGGCGCGAGCGAUUCCUAGCGGCCGUCAACAUAGCAGUCCGCAAUGGACUUGCUAAUUGGAAAACCACCGCUAGAAGGUGGAUGGACAAACCGUACGAGACCAUCAAGAAGAAAUGGCCGUCGGUAACUGAUGAGGCCGAAUGGGAAAAGUUCAAGAAGGAAUCGUCUGACCCUGCCUUCAUUGCGAAGAGUGAACGCAUGAGGGCGCUGCGCUUAAGGAAGCCCUUGAACCACAUGCUAGGGAGUGCAGGGAAAGAGGGGAAGAAGAAGGUCUAGCGCAAGCAGGACCAAAUUCUUGAGGUGGCAAGCAGGGUGCCUCCAGUGCAUGACAUGCUGGAGGACCAACGUGCUAGAGAAUAUGCACAUCAGCACAUGACACCCGAGCAGUGGGCGGGCAUUGAGCCAAUGCAGCCGCCUGUUAAAAAAUUUACGGUAAGGGUUCACGUGCAUUUAGUUGUUUUCGGCGUUAAUUAUGACACUCCUGAUCCAUAUAGACUCACGUCCCGUCUUAUAUGAUAACAGGAAAAUGCCCACAAAUGGGAGGAGAGCAGGAGGUCAGAAACCUCGACAACUCCGUGCAGAGCAAGAGGUGGGAGUCGGCUGUGACCGCCGGCUUGCAAAAGGUGGAGCACACGGGCCAUGUUCUAGGAGAAGGCGAAGGGGCCUGCUGGGAUGAUUAUUUCCCGCCUGCUCCGAAGCAAAGCAGGGUUCAGAAAAAGCUCCCCGCCUCUUCUGAGAUAAUAGAACAAGCUAAGGCGGAGGCGCGAGAGCAGGCAUCUAUCGUGUCUCAAGAGGUGUCGCGGGAAUAUGCAGUGCAAGCCAUCCAUCAUUUGGUGUCGGCAUUGGCCAAAGACCACCCCGCCCUUGGCGCCAUACUCGGGGGAGGAGUCGAAGGUUUGAGGAACCUCCUUCCUCCUCUUCCUCCGCGAAAGAGCACCCCGCUGAAGAGUAGCGCCGCCUCCGACACACGUAUGGAGGACGAAGAAACCUACACCCCAGGUUACAGCCCGGCUCCUAGCAUGGACAACCCCCCCGCUAGCCAACCUUUCCCAAGCGAGGCCAACCGGGAACGAUCAGGGUCCGAGCGACAACAUCCUUGUAAGCAAUCUUUUCAAACUCUUUUUCAAUCCUUACCUUCAUGAAUAAAGAUCUUACACACAUAUGCCUUCUUCUUGUUACGCGCAGACACUGGUGAAGUGUCGUAUCCACGUUGACAAGCCUGAGAAACCUGUAGGCGCCAUUGGCCGCCUGAUGCCCAAACAAUCACCGCCGCCGGUGCACGGCAUUCUCAUGAACGACGCACAAGUGAGUGUGAUGGUGGACUCCGUCGUCGACGACCAUCGGGAUUAUGCCAUCCCGCUACCUCCGGAGGAAGGCGUGGAUAUCCUAGGCGGUUGUCCAAACUACCGAAUUAUGUAGCCUAGGAGCUUGGUAUCCCUCUACAACCACCGCCGACCCUCUAUGACUCCAUCUCCCUCCGUCCAGAAAGGUACUUCUCAUUCGCCGCUCGGCCUUUCUGUUAGGAUACUUCCUCCUGUAGAUGCCGGCGGAGAUGAAGAGCGGGCAAUGUCGAUGCCUGCACAGCUCAAAGAUAGCCAGACCACAGGGUCGGCACAGGCUGGAAGCGUCCCUCCCACCUUCUCUCUCUUGGGUGCCGCUGAGUCCAUGGGUGGCCGCAAGAUCGAUGACAAGUACAAGGCAGAGGAGCAGAAGGCAUGGGACAGUAAGAGGAGGCAUAAAAAGAGGGGGCGCGGUGGCAAGACCAUCAAGGAGUCCUCCACUGUCACUCAAGAUGAGAUGCACCAUGUGCCUGACAUAAUUGGAGUCUGGGAGGACAAUAGGCCUGACAUUCUCAUCAAGAACCCAUAUCAAGGCCAGAGAUUCGAAGACGGAUCAUAUUUCGUGGCUAGGGAGUUCGACCGGGUGCUUCUUUACUAUCCUGGAAGACCGAUGGUCACCGAAGAUUCCCUGCGUGCCGUGUCCAGAGAGAUGCAAGAGCUUCAUCAGUUCUACAUGCAAGCAUCAGCUGGUUCUCAACAGCAUGCCCAACAGAUCAAUGUUAGAAUCCCAAAAGACUGUGACUUCUUUGACCAAGAAAUCGGGAAGAUUCAGGAACGUCCUAUCACCUUUGGUGUGGAGUUCAACGAACUGUUCCACCUCUUCAACCGCCAAAAGCUUGAUAUCAACCUCUUAAGGCUGUGGUCAGCCUACCAAAUAAGAGAACUGCGGCGAUUGGAGGUCAAAAAAGUAGCCAUUCUAGACCCCGCAUCGGUGACAUCGGUCUUGAGCAUGAAAAGGAUGUCUCAAGAACCAUGGCAUCUAAAUACUUGGUGGCAUGUCUCGAGAAAUACGCGGACGACAACUUCAUCCUCUUCUUCCUUAAUUUGGAGUAAGUUCAAUUUUAUAUAUGGAACCGUUUGUUUUUUCUAAUUCAGUCUUUCUUAUACACCCUUAGAUACUAAAGUUUGUUUCUUUUGAAAACAGAGACCAUUGGGUGACACUACUCAUUUGUUUGCCUUGGUCCGCGGUGCACUAUUUCGAUUCACUGCUUCCGAAGACGGGUGUUCGAGGUAGGUUCUGGAAGCCCAUCAAAUCACUCAUUAACACUGCCUGGAAAGUGGCGACCAAGGGAAAACUAGCUGGUAAAGGCUAUAAAGACGAGCCUCACCACAACCGCAGGUUUCCUUGCCAGCAACAGCCGCCCGGCAGUGUGUUCUGUGGCUACUACUGUUGUCACAUCCUUAUGGAGAAUGCCAGCAUGUUCAAGCCUGAGUGGAAGGGGUCAGUCGCGGCGAUGGAAGAGUACUGGCGGCCCCGAAUGAUAAUGGGACACCGACCUAAAUGGGUCGUGUAUAACAUUCAAAGGGAGUUCGCCCAUCUCAUAAACAAUGAGGUCAUCAAGCCUAGACUUCUUCGAACGCGUGGAACAAGUCGUGUCUAGGAUUCACCCACGACAAUAGAUUCAUUUGUAUUCUUUACAUGCUUUCAUGAAAUUUUGACACUUUGUAAUUAUGCUUCUAUGGAAUUUUGACACUUUGUAAUCAAUGUCGUGAAGUGUGAUACAUUUGUAUUCCUUAUAUGAUGCGGCUUAUAUACAAUUGUAUGCUUUAAAUGAUGUGAUGUGAUGCAGCUUUAUAUGUAUUUUUCUGUGAUGAGAUACAUUCUGUAUAUAAUUUGUUGUGAUGUAUAUAAUUUGCUGUGUAUUUACUGUGGUUUUAAUUAUUUUUUUAAAUACCGAAAACGUAUCAGUGUCGGUCGACCGACCGACAGUGAUGGGGCAACGCGACCGUUACUGAUGAUAUCAUCAGUAACGGUCGUGAAUGAGCGACCGUUACUGAUGAUGGGUAUCAUUAGUAACACUAUAUGAUUUUUCGACCGUUACUGAUAACCGUUUCUGUAGUAGUGGAGGCACGCAAGGGCGGCGCCCGCCUUGAGCUUGAGCACGCCUAGAGGUGCAAGGCGGCGUCGUGGUGAGGUUAGGUGGGCUGCGAGGGAGAGGCUGUGAGGGGAGAGAGAGACGAGACGAGAGAUAAAAGAAAGGUGCAGUUAAUUAGGGAGUAAAGGAGAGAGAAUUAAAGGAAAGGAAAGAUGAUUAAAAAAAAUGAAAAGACACAUAGUUAGUUACCAAGAUGGCGCUAGAUCGCGGGGGAGUCACCCGGAGCUUUGGCUUUAAGAGAGCCCACGUCCAGCGGCUUCCAAAAAACAUCCACAUUCUCCCUGUAAUUUGCCCCUAUCUUGGAGCAUAUCCGCAUUGAAGGUGCAUAUGCCCGUUAGGAAUUUCAGGGGUGGAGAACAUGUCCAUGUUCAUGGUCAGCAAGAAGUUUUUGAUUCCUCGAUAGUUUUGUCUCCUUUCCAAAAAAGAACAUCAUUUCUCAGGGACCAACAACUCCACCAGAGAAGAAGGAGGGAGGCUCUGGUAUCUCUGUCGAUCUGAUCGGGCAGGAUGAGCAUCCAGUUUUCCCCUUUUUUAGCCAACAUUCCGGAGGCAGCUUCCAAUGUUUAGGGAGGGCCGCCCAGAGCGCUCUGGCCUUAGUGCAAUUGUUAACGGCACGGUGCCCGUCUUCAUCCUCAGAAGCACUAAAUUUAUUCUUCUCAUUUUGACGUUUCUCGAGUCCAACUCAGGUGGUCUGAGUUUCUUGUGGUGGAAUCAACCCAUCCAGGUUCAAGUCCUAGACUUGACAUGGGUGUCACAUUUUCCUGAAUUAUUUCAAGAUUUAACCGGCGCUAUUUUUUUAGUGGUACGUGACGUACCCGUCAACAGCGAGGCGUCAGCGGUGACUUUAUCAAUCCCUUAAAACCUGCCGGGUGACUUUGUCAAUCCCUUAAAAUCUGUCGGCUUAGUCUUUCGAAGGUGCUUAUAGGAAUAGGGUGUGCCUUUGUGCGUUCAUAAGGGUGAGUGUACGCGCAUGUUGUGAGCGUCUUUCAGGAUUUAACCGGCACUAUUCUUUUAGUGGUAGGUGACGUACCCGUCAACAGCGAGGCGCCAGCGGUAACUUUGUCAAUCUCUUAAAACCUGCCGGUUUAGUGUUUCAAAGGUGCUCAUAACGAUAGGGUGUGUGCACGUGCAUAGAGGUGAAUGUAUGCGCGUGGUGUGAGCGUCUGCGUUUGUACUGUGUUUAAAAAAAAAUUGCGGACUACCAUGAUUACACAAUCUGAAUUAACCUCUACGUUUUGAAAAACCUCAUUCUUUUAGGGGAACUUGAAAACCUCAUGAGUCUACCUCAGACACCCUAGAAAAGCUGGACGUGGCAUCUAGAUUCAAUCCUUUCUGAUGGGCUGUGUUCCGUUUCUACAAGAGAAGAGUUCAUAGCCUCAUAGGCCCAUAAGCCCAGUAAAACCCUAAAGGCGCAGCCGGCGGUUCGCUGCUUGAUCGAACCAAGCCACCGAGGUCAACUCAGACAGAGGUCAGAAGAACAGCAAGGAAAAGGCGCUCCCACCGACCCAGCGACGGGGCGGUGAAGCCGGCGGCGGCGGCGCGGGAGCGAGCGGGCAUGGCUUUCUGGCAGGCGCGCGACUUCCUGUUUUGCAGCGUGUGCGGCACCCUCCUCGACUUCGACUCCGUCCGCUCCGCCUCCUGCCCUCUCUGCGGCUUCAAGCGCAAGGCCAAAGGUCUCCCUCCCUUUUUUCCAAGUCUACCCUGCUGUUCUUGGCGUCGUUGGUGCCGAACCUCGAGCUCCCGCUGCUUGCUCUUCUGGAGCUCCGAUUCUGAAGUUAGAAGGAGGCUACGUCGAUUCAUGGAUUGUUGAUCUGACGCAUCCUUGUAUUUGGUUAUUUAGUUUGUGGCUAAUGCAGACUCGGCUCUUGUUUUUUGCAGCGAUCGAAGGAAAAGAGACUCGGUACGCGGUCACCGAUGAGGUACGGCUUCGCGGCUCUCUCCUUAGCUUGCGAAAUCUUUUUUUUUUCUCCCUAUCGCCUGGAGCGUCCUAUCUCACCAGCGGACAGCUUGACACUAGUGUUAGUACUAGGGAUCCCUAUAUAAUUUAUACUGAUGAAGCUAGAAAACCCAUCUUCUUUUUUUUUGACAACAGCUAGAAAACCCAUCUAGAUAAAGGUGUGCUGAUUACUGAGUCUGCCUAACACUGCGCUACUUCCUAUACUUGGAUGCGAUGUUGAGUUUCCUGAAGGGACACUAAUCCUGCUAAGCUACUGGACUAGAGAUUUUUUUUUUUUGAAAGGAACACAGACUGCAUUCCAUUAACUUAAACGAGCUGGACAUACGCCAGCAACCAAGUCUUUUACAUGAUCAGGGAAUGGGUCAAGCCAUACAUGAUAGCUUCCCUGUUCCAUAUACAUACCAAACGCUGCUAGACAAUGUGCUGAUACAUUACAAGCUCUUGGACAAACUUCUAUCUUACAACAUUGAGAAGAGUACUGAAUUAAAGCCUUCAUUUCUCUUAACAAAACACCCAAACUUGAAUUAUCAUAGUCAUUGCUAGUCAUCGCUUGCUUAAGCGUACUUGCGUCUGUCUCCAAAAUGACCUUGUGACAUCCCAUUCUGGCUGCUUCCUGAAGCGCGUGAAGCAUCGCUGCAGUUUCUGCAUGAAGUGGAUCAGCAACCAUUUUCAGGUUACCUGCCCCUGCCACCAGAGCUUCACCAUGUUCAUUUUUUAUAGUAAAACCCCACCCGCCAAAACAAGAUGAUUGUAAGCCCCAUCGGUAUUAAUCUUCAGAAAAUCUGUUGGAGGAGGAGACCAAACCUGUUGGGUGCUCCUCUUUAGCUUCUUGCGCCUUGUCAUAACUUCACAAAACUCAGUAAGAUGGAGCUGAUAAGAGAAAAGAAUUUCAUCAAGGCUCCUAAUAUGAUUUCCUUGAUUUGCUUUAUUUCUUUCAGACCACCAGGUCCACAGCAGCACACAAGUCUUCAUGCAUGUCUCUUCACCCAGCUGAAAAAUUUCAUUCAUUAGCAAUCGAGCAUUAGGGCAAUUGAGAAGGAGUUUUCGUAUAUCUUCCAAUUGAGCUACUCUCCAAAGGGCUUUAACUGACUUACAUUUUAAAAAGCAAUGCCCACCAUCUUCAUCAAGUCUGUAGCAUAUUGGACAUCUCGUAUCUAGAUCUAUACCCCUUCUUUUUAAUUUUGUUCUAAAGGGAAGGCUGUUAUUUGCUAGUCGCCAUAGAAAAUGCAAAAUUUUACCUGGCAAAUGUAGCGCCCAUAAUUUCUUCCAUGGUAGGUUAGUACUUAUUUCAGGAUUGUGUGACAUUGAAGGGAUGCCUUUUUCAGAUUCUCGUGCUUCAGAAUCAAGGACAACUUGAUAUGCCGAUUUAACCGAAAAGUUUCCUUUUUUAUCAAAGUGCCAAGCUAAGAAAUCUUCGGCACCUUCUUGAAUAGGAAUUUGGAGGAUUGCCUGAGCAUCUUGUUCAUUAAAAGUUUUCUUGAUAAGUUGUUCAUCCCAGGAGUAGAAGACAGGAUCAAUUAGCUCUGCAACUUUUGUUAGCAGAUUAUUUCCUCUUCUGGAUGUGACCAUCCUUGAUAUACCUUUUGGGAGCCAAGGAUCUGUCCAUAUAUUGAUGUUCUCCCCGUCACCAACUCUCCAUACAAUUCCAUUCUUCAACACUUGUACUCCUUUUAAAAUGCUCCUCCAACAAUACGAGAUACCAUUUUUCGGUUCAUCCUGUAGCAGAUUGUGGUCUGGAAAAUAUUUUGCUGCAAGGACUUGUGAGCAUAGAGAAAGAGGACUCUUUAGAAUUCUCCAUGCCUGCCUUGCCAACAUGGCAAGGUUAAAAGAAUAUAAAUCUCUAAAACCCAGACCUCCAUCUUUCUUUGGUUUUGUCAAAUUUUCCCAGCUGACCCAAUGGAUUUUGUUCUCUUUAUCCAUGUUGCUCCACCAAUAUUGCCCUAUCAUUGUACUGAUGUCAUCGCAAAGAGUCUUGGUGAGGUCAAAGCAAGCCAUGGCAUAAACAGGUAUAGCUUGAGCGGCUGCUUUUAUCAAAAUCUCUUUUCCAGCUUUAGAAAGCAUCUUUUCCUUCCAGCCCUGUAGUUUGUUCCAUAUUUUCUCCUUCAAGUAUUGAAAAGCCUUUGCUUUGGAUUUGCCAAUAUAUACUGGCAAACCCAAAUAUUUUCCUGAAAAACCUUCUUUGGAGAUGCCUAAUUGGUUCAUCAAUUCACUUUUGUCUUCAGCUUUUGUGUUCCUGCUAAAUAGGAUAGCACACUUGUCCUUAUUUAUAGCUUGACCCGAGCAGGCUUCAUAUGUAUUGAGAAUUCUGUUUACUUCUUGUAUACUGCUGGCGUUAGCUUCGAUGAGAAGAAGGGAGUCAUCUGCAAAUAACAAGUGACUUAUACUAGGAGCAGAUUUACAAAUUUUGAUUCCUUUCAGUUUCCCAUUUAACUCAGUGUCAUGAAGCAUGGCAGAGAAGCCUUCGGCGCAAAAUAGAAAUAGAUAUGGAGAGAGAGGAUCACCUUGGCGGAGCCCUCGCUCUGGAAUAAUAGUAUCGGUUGCAUCUCCAUUUAUCUUGACUUGAUACUUCACCGUGGUGACACAUUUCAUUACUAAUUCAGUCCAUCUUCUAUCAAAUCCCAUCCUCAACAUCAUUUCGUGUAGAAAUUUCCAUUCAACGCGGUCAUAUGCCUUGCUCAUGUCGAGUUUAAUUGCUGCAUAGCCUUUAUUUCGUGUUCUUUUUCUCUGCAAAAAAUGUGUCAAUUCAUAAGCUAAAAUGAUAUUAUCAGAGAUCAUUUGUCCUGGGACGAAGGCACUCUGAUUUGGAGAUAUUAGAUCAGGGAGGACCAAUUUCAGUCUAUUAGUGAGAACCUUCGAGAUCAGCUUAUAAACCACGUUGCAGAGGCUUAUAGGCCGUAGAUCUUUUAAAUUAUCCGGAGCUGCAGUUUUUGGAAUAAGUACUAUCAUCGUGUUGUUCCAACCAUCUGGCAUCUCUCCUCCCCUGAGUACAUUGAGAACUUCUUUUGUGACCUGAUUGCCGAUGAUGUUCCAGAAGCGUUUAAAGAACACUGCUGGCAUCCCAUCAGGUCCUGGCGCCUUCAAGUCCCCUAUGCUAUCUAGAGCAUUUUUUAUUUCUUCUUCUGUGUACUCCGAACAGAGGAUUUCAUUCAUUUGUUCCGACACCCUAGGCUGAACUGCACGGAGGAUUUCCUCAUUAUUAUGUCCUGCUGCAGAUGAAAAGAGGCUAAAGAAAUAAUUAGAUAUAUGUUCCUUCAGCUGAUCUGUAUUGUCCACCCAUGAUCCAUCAUCCCUUUUUAACCUUCUUAUGGUAUUUCUCCUUUUCCUCUCUGAUGCAAAGGCAUGGAAGAAAGCAGUAUUUUUAUCACCAGAAUGAAGCCAUUUUACAUGCGCUCUUUGCUUCCAGACUAUAUCCUGUUGAUGAUCUAGUCGGUUCAACUUAUCCUUCAGAAAAUGCUCGCGGUUUACCCUUUGUUGAUUAAUUUCCCCCUUCUUAUAUCCUCCCAAUCUUGUUUCAGUUGCUUAAUUCUCUUUUGUAAGUUUCCAAACACGUUUUCAUCCCAAUCUUUAAGAUCUGUGGCCACUUUCUGAAUCCCUUGUAAAACAUUGCCUCCACUCUGUAUGUUCGAUAAUCGCCAAGCAUUAUUUACAAUAACUUCAGUCCUGUUCAUCAAGCCAUUUAGCUUCAAAUCUGAAAGCAUUUUUUCCAUUCACACUUCUAGGUACUUUUAGUGAUCCUUCAAUUAGGAUUGUGACAGGUCUGUGGUCAGAAUGCCUAGGAUCACCAUUUAUAACUUUAUAAGCAGGAAAGCGUGCACACCAUUCUCUAGAUCCCACUGCUCGAUCUAGUCUUUCUUUAAUGUAAUGAUCAGCAUCAUGAUUUUUAUUACGCCAUGUGAAUUUAUCUCCAGUAAAUCCUAGAUCUCGCAGUCCACAAUCAAGUAAUGUCAUUCUGAAAUUCUCCAUAUGCUUCUGAUUGCGUGGAGGUCCUCCUUUUUUUUCAUGAGCAUAUAAAAUUUCAUUAAAAUCUCCUGCACAUAGCCAUGGAAGCUUUAGCUGUUGGUUAAGAAUUCUCAUAAGUUUCCAUGUUUUUUCCUUCUUAUCUGUUGCAGGUUCUCCAUAAAUUCCAGCGAAACACCAUUUGUAGCCAUCUUGUUUAGUAAUUUCCAUAUCCACAUGAUAUCUCGAAAAAUUAUGCAGCUUCGCAUUUAUGUGUCUUUUCCACAUUAAAGCCAGACCGCCCCUUUUUCCUUCACAUCUUUGUACCACCAUUCCAGACAUUCCCAGAACACUCUUGAACCAACUCAUUCUGUUCUCAUCCGUUUUAGUUUCGGAUAAAAACAGCACAUCAGGGGCCACCUGCUUCUGGAGAUUCAGAAGCCCACGAACUGCCAGGCCAUUCCCCAAUCCCCGGCAGUUCCAAACUGUUAUUCUCAUUUUGAUUCGCCGCGCUGUCCCUGCAGCCCAGCGCUUGCAAUCUCAGAUUUGGUGUUUUUCUCGUUAUCCUCCUCACGAUCAACCUGCGUUCUGGCUUUCUUAGUUAAUUCAGUAAUCUCAUCAACAUCCAUGAAGUCUGCAUUUCUUUUCUUCAGUUCUAUCCUAUAUAACUUCUUCCCGAUAAUGUUCCCUUUUGUUCUUUCUAUCCGCUUGUAAGUACGUUGCUUCCUGCUUUUGAGCCACUUUUUCGCUCAAAUUCUUGACCUCCUUCUUUUGGCUGACUUUUAAUUGCUUCAUUAUGCUUGUUCACGAUUAAAUCUUGUCUCUGUUUACUUACUUCAUUUCCCUCCACCAUUGCUCCCCAGGACUACUAGAGAUAUCUAGCUUGACUUGAUCACCAAUUUCUGAUUCUUUGCCCUUUAUAUUAGUAGUCACCUGCUUGUCCUCAAACAUUAAUUUUUUUGCCUUCAACUGACCUUGUUUGUUCUCCCUGAUUUAUGUCAAAGGGGCUUGCAGCUUCUCUAUCUUCUCCCUUUUUUGAUAUUCCUUUGUCACUUCUGGUCAGCAAAUUCUUCCUCCAAGAUGGGCCAUCGCUCCCCUGCUUAUUACCUCCUCCAACAAUGUUACUUCUCCAAAAGUCUCCAUUAUCAUUGGACCCUCUACUUUUUUCUCCACUUGAACUUCCCUUGUAAAUAACUGCUCUUAACCAUGGACCAAACUGUCUAGCACCCUCUCUCUUAGUUAUUGUUGGGCAAAGCUUUUCUGUAUGUCCAAUAAUUCCACACUUGUAGCAAAAAUCUGGCAAAUAUUCAUAUUUAAAAGUGACAACUUUUUCCUUCUUUUUCUUUCUUUUUUCCUCGUCGUCGUCUUCAUUUCCUAUCAUCCUUUCAUUUACCAGAUCUUGUUCCUCUUCCUCCUCGUCCAUGAAUAAAGUAGUGAGUUUCAUUAUUGCGACAGUUAUAUCCAUCCGCACCUUGAUUUGCAUAAAUUCCCCCAUUGCAUCCCCAUUAUCAUCCAAGUCUACGUCUAAGAAUUCUCCAAUUUGUUCUCCUUACAGUUCUGCUGUUUCUCUGCUCAUCACGCCCAUCGGAACGUAGUAAGCCCUUACCCAUAUUGGAAUUGUCUUAAACUCAUAUUCAUCAAUGGUUUUGCUUGGCAUGAAUUCCUCCGUCACAAUCAGAUCUUUAUCAAACAUCCAGGGUCCUCCCUCUAUUGUCUUCUUUUUUGCCAUCUCUUCAUGGAACAAAAAUAAGAAUCUAUUUCUACCCAACUCUUUGCACUCAACUCCAGAGAAAGGGCUCCAAAUAUUACCCAAAGCCCUACCUACGUGCCCUGCUCUUGCAGGUUUUUCAGAAUAGAGCUUACCCACUGCUUGAAGCUUGCUCGCUUUCAAGGAACAAGCCUGCUUCUUUCCGAUUCUGAUUAAUUUCUUCUCUGCAUCUGAAAGCCGUAGAUUUUGUAGUCUUCCUUCCACCCCGUCUACUGCUAAAGUCUUCUCAUCACCCAUGCCAGCCGCACUCGGUCGCAACUCCGGGCUUCCGCCUCCUCCCCCGUCACCUCCAAACACCCCCUCCGCCAGACACGGGACUAGGAUUAACAGGUGUAUUUGGUUCUCUCAGGGAUUGGACUGAAGCUCAGAGUUACACAAUGUUCUUUAGAUCAAGCAAUCAGACCCCUCAGGCAGCUUUGUUAGGCUCUCACGAUGGCAGUGGGAUGGGAAGGGAUGGGAUGGGAUGGAUCUGCUGCACCUCUAAUGGAUUGUGGAAACGGACGCGAUUCUGAAGAUUUUGGUGGAUUUGGGACGAAUUUUGGGCGGCAAAGAUUGCCGACGGAAAUCGCCGUGGAGUCGCCAUGAAGUCGCUAGAAGCAGCACGAAACCGUCACGUGCGGACGGACCAAUGGGGUACCACACUGUACUGUAUGAUUUUUGACUAGAGAUAUUUUUUAUUGAAAAGAAAGAGACGAACUCUUCAAUCUUUUGGUAUGCAUAAAUUAGCAUCACCAAUGGAAGAAUAUGAAUUCUACAUAAAUCUACUAAAUUAAGAAUUGGUGGUUUUCUAGCUUGACAUUUUAAGUUGCUCUGUAACUCCUAUAGGUAUUGAUACACUUAUCAUACUAGGCUAUUGCUGUACUAGUUAGCAAAUGACAAAUUGAUUUUGGGGCUACACGCUACAUACACCUGUUGUUUUUAAAUCCAUGCUUUCUUGGUAUGUGCAGAUUCUUUUACCAAGCAAUAUAAGUUUCUAUUUUAGGAAUGUAUGUUCUGAUUUUGAAACGUAUUUUGUGACAGGAUAUUAGAAGGGAGCUAAAGAUCGAACCGUUUGUGACCCUUGAAUCAGCACCAAAGAUGGAUGUAAUUGUGCAAAGAGUUGUUGUAAGUUAAAAAAAUAAUUAUGAACAUAUAACCUAAUAGCGUGAUUACUUCUUUGAUACCUUGAGCGCUUAACAAUGUUGUUUUGCAUUAGGUAGAUGAAACCUGUCCGAAAUGUGGCCAUCCUCAACUCGAGUAUCACACGAAGCAGGUUAUUUACCGAGUUCGAACAUUCGAUGACAUUUUAGUACCCAUUUUUCUCUUUCUGGCUCUGAAUCUUGCUGAACUUCUGGACGUGUAAUUACAGCUACGGGCAGCGGAUGAAGGGCAGACUGUCUUCUACGAAUGCCCGGAAUGCAGGCACAAUUUCAAGGUCAAUAACUAGGAAAGAACUCAUCAAUCACUUCACGUGUAUGGCCAAAAGAGAAAUGCUCUUGCCAUGAGUUGACAAGCGAUGUUCAAAGGGUUUGCAGCGCCUUCGUCCGUGCUCUAAGCAUGAAUGUUAUCUGGGAUGUGCUAAUCCAUACAUAUGCCAAAAACUUUUGGGCCGAAUCUUUUUGUUAUUGGGGUUGAUCCACAUUUCAAGUACUAUUAGUAUGUAUUUUAUCCAGCUUAAUAGCAUCUCCAGCAGCUUCCCUAAACUGGUCUGGUUUUAGGGAUAGGAGAGAACUUUUUGGGAAAAAAGAUGUUCCUCUCCAGCAGGUUCCCCAAAGUGAUUCCUUAUACUAGUAUUUUGUUUGCCAUCACACUUGCACGUGGGACCCAAAUGUCAUUUACUAAAAGAAAAACCGUCGCGCACCGUCGCUUGCCGUUGCGUCCACAUGUCGCCGCCCCUGUCCGUCUUGAGCUGCCCACCGAUUCAGAGGGGGGGAUGGGGUCGCGAUGCCAGCAGCAGGUCGAGGAGGAGCACUGUAGGCAGCGCUGGUGCUCGGCGCGGAUCGUAGACAUCCACGCCGGCCAAUUCGAGCGCCGCUCCGGCCGAAUUGACGUCUAGCGACUUGGCACGGAGGCGGAUACGGGGGCAACGGUAGGGGGCUUGCCGGCCCGAUUCACCGCGGGAUGGGCUCGGGAGGGGGCAUGGCCGCCGGAGGUGGUGCAGGCAGCCGAUUCGAUGGAGGCGGUCCGGCACGAAAACGAACGGAAUCGAGCGGUUAUUUUCGUGUGCUUGCUUUUCUGCGUUUAGGGAACGAGGCU